Molecule: ribosomal RNA, 2996 nt
Filed under: Nannochloropsis oceanica
Lineage: Eukaryota; Eustigmatophyceae; Eustigmatales; Monodopsidaceae
Description: 23S ribosomal RNA
Rfam family: Bacterial large subunit ribosomal RNA
Source: RNAcentral
UCAAACGUUGAAGGGCUUCUGACGGAUGCCUUGGCGUAGAGAGGCGAUGAAGGACGUGGCAAGCUGCGAUAAGAGUCGGGGAGGCGCUAGCACCCUUUGAUCCGGCUAUUUCCGAAUGGGGAAACCCACCUUUACGGUCUUCCAACUCUGUUUCUUCGGAAGCAGCGAUUGGCGGAUCGUUGAAAGGUAUGAUGAGCUGAAUACAUAGGCUCAUUAAGCGAACCCGGGGAACUGAAACAUCUCAGUACCCGGAGGAAAGGACAUCAACCGAGACUCCCGUAGUAGUGGCGAGCGAACCGGGACCAGGCCAGUGCUCUUGUGAAAUAAAGACGAACGAUCUGGAAAGGUCGGCCAUAGUGGGUGAAAGCCCCGUAGUCAUCAAACAGCAAGAGACUCGAGUAGGGCGGGACACGUGAAAUCCUGUCUGAACAUGGGGGGACCACCCUCCAAGCCUAAGUACUCCUCUACGACCGAUAGUGAACAAGUACCGUGAGGGAAAGGUGAAAAGCACCCCGACAAGGGGAGUGAAACAGAUCCUGAAAUCGGAAGCCUACAAGCAGUCGGAGCCGCCAAGCGCGGUGACGGCGUACCUUUUGUAUAAUGGGUCAGCGACUUCAUGUGUCGAGCAAGCUUAAGCCGUUAGGUGUAGGCGCAGCGAAAGCGAGUCUGAAUAGGGCGCUAAGUUCGACGUAUGACGACCCGAAACCAGGUGAUCUAUCCAUGAGCAGGAUGAAGGUUGGGUAACACCAACUGGAGGUCCGAACCGGUGUCUGUUGAAAAAGACUCGGAUGACUUGUGGAUAGGGGUGAAAGGCCAAUCAAACCUGGACAUAGCUGGUUCUCCGCGAAAUCUAUUUAGGUAGAGCGUCCGACGAAUUCCUUGGGGGGUAGAGCACUGGAUGGUUGCGGGCUGCGCGAGCGGUACCAAUACUAACCAAACUCCGAAUACCCAAGAGAACUAUCGGGCAGACACACGGCGGGUGCUAACGUCCGUCGUGAAAAGGGAAACAACCCUAACCAUCAUCUAAGGCCCCCAAGUAACGGCUAAGUGGGAAACGAUGUGGGAUUGCUUUGACAAUCAGGAGGUUGGCUUAGAAGCAGCCAUCCUUUAAAGAAAGCGUAACAGCUCACUGAUCAAGCGAUCCUGCGCGGAAAAUGUAACGGGGCUCAAGCCGUUCGCCGAAGAUAUGGGUUUGCAGUUUACUGCAAGCGGUAGCGGAGCGUUCCGUAGGCCGGUGAAGGUCAGGCGUGAGCCUGGCUGGAGGUAUCGGAAGUGAGAAUGCUGACAUGAGUAACGAUAGGAGUGUGAGAGACACUCCCGCCGAAAGACCAAGGGUUCCUGCGUAAAGCUAAUCUGCGCAGGGUUAGUCGGCCCCUAAGGCGAGGCUGAAAAGCGUAGUCGAUGGGAAGCAGGUAAAUAUUCCUGCACCAGCUGGAAGUGACGGAUGGCAUAACUUGUACGGGCUUAUUGGAUUGUCCGUGCAGGGGCGUUGUCCCUGGAAAUAACUCCAGCAGAGACCGUACCCGAAACCGACACAGGUGGUCAGGUAGAGCAUACCAAGGCGUUUGAGAGAACUGUGCUGAAGGAACUCGGCAAAUUGCACGCGUAACUUCGGAAUAAGCGUGACUCACCCUGCGCAAGCAGGACUGAGUGGCACAAGCCAGGGGGUAGCGACUGUUUAGCAAAAACACAGGGCUCUGCGAAGCAGCAAUGCGACGUAUAGGGUCUGACGCCUGCCCGGUGCCUGAAGGUUAAAGGGAGAUGUGAAAGCGUCGAACUGAAGCCCAGGUAAACGGCGGCCGUAACUAUAACGGUCCUAAGGUAGCGAAAUUCCUUGUCGGGUAAGUUCCGACCUGCACGAAUGGCGUAACGACUUCCCCACUGUCUCCAGCACAGGCUCAGUGAAAUUGAAUUCCCCGUGAAGAUGCGGGGUUCCCGCGGUCAGACGGAAAGACCCUAUGAACCUUUACUAUAGCUUCGCCUUGGCGUUAGCGACCGUAUGUGUAGGAUAGGUGGGAGACUAUGAAGCCGGGGCGCCAGCCUCGGUGGAGUCGUCCUUGAAAUANNNNNNNNNNNNNNNNNNNNNNNNNNNNNNGAAAUAGACCUGUCUGUGAAGAUGCGGACUUCCUGCACCUGGACAGAAAGACCCUAUGAAGCUUCACUGCAUCUUGGGAUUGAAUCUGGUCUUUACUUGCGCAGAAUAGGUGGGAGGCAUUGAAGAAAAUCUUGUGGGAUUUUUGGAGCCAAUCGUGAGAUACCACUCUUUUAAAGCUCGGAUUCUCACUCUCUACCGUAAUCCGGGGAGAGGACACUCCCAGGUGGGCAGUUUGACUGGGGCGGUCGCCUCCUAAAAGGUAACGGAGGCGCACAAAGGUUUCCUCAGAUCGGAUAGAAAUCGAUCGAAGAGUGUAAAGGCAAAAGGAAGCUUGACUGCGAGACGUACAAGUCAAGCAGAGACGAAAGUCGGUCUUAGUGAUCCGACGAUCCUGAGUGGAAAGGUCGUCGCUCAACGGAUAAAAGUUACUCUAGGGAUAACAGGCUGAUCUCCCCCAAGAGUCCACAUCGACGGGGAGGUUUGGCACCUCGAUGUCGGCUCAUCGCAUCCUGGGGCGGUAGUACGUCCCAAGGGUUGGGCUGUUCGCCCAUGAAAGCGGUACGUGAGCUGGGUUCAGAACGUCGUGAGACAGUUCGGUCCAUAUCCGGUGUAGGCGUUAGAGUAUUGAGAGGAUCCUUCUCUAGUACGAGAGGACCGAGAAGGACAUACCGCUAGUGUACCAGUUAUCGUGCCAACGGUAAACGCUGGGUAGCUAUGUAUGGAAUGGAUAACCGCUGAAAGCAUCUAAGUGGGAAGCCAACCUCAAGAUGAGUACUCUCAUCGUCCUUUCUUUUUGAAAGGCGAGUAAGGUCACGGCAAGAUCAGCCGUUUGAUAGGCAUGAAGUGUAAGUGCAGUAAUGUAUUCAGCUGACGUGUCCUAACAGACCGAGGACUUGAAUCG